Molecule: transfer RNA, 67 nt
Filed under: Marmota monax (woodchuck)
Lineage: Eukaryota; Metazoa; Chordata; Mammalia; Rodentia; Sciuridae
Description: tRNA.Ala
Source: RNAcentral
GGUCAUGGCUCGGUGGUAGGGCGCUUGCCUAGCACGCAUGAGGCCCUCGGUUGGAUCCCCAGCACCA